This is a long non-coding RNA of Vigna unguiculata (cowpea), 430 nucleotides long. RefSeq lists it as uncharacterized. NCBI's taxonomy places the organism in Eukaryota, Viridiplantae, Streptophyta, Magnoliopsida, Fabales, Fabaceae. The record is from RefSeq and is a predicted model, not a curated record.
CUUAAUCAUGGAGGGCCCAUCUGACAUGGACUGCACAUUCUGACGUACGUGUCCGGACAUCAAAACGUAUAUAUAUACUGGACGUAUUGCAUCAUAAUUUUUCAACGUACAUAAUAAAUUCGUUAAUUAAGAGCUAGAAAGCAGAAAGGACGAAAGUUGGAGUAUCAGGGUCCAGAAAUUGUGGCUCUUGCGCCACUCUCACAGCCACAUAGCAGAAGAAAACUCAAGACAAUGUUGUGAGUGAGAAAAAGAAAGGGAGGUUAAAUACAGUGAUGAAAAUGACAAACAGAAACAGCACUUCUCUUAUUCCCUGUCAAUGGUUUGUUUGUUUGAUCAGUUUGAAAAGGGUGAUGCUGCAAUUCCAAAACUGAAAAGGUAGUAUAAUGGUAAUUUCACUUUCACAAAGAACAAGCAGCUUUUUGUGCCAAAC